Molecule: long non-coding RNA, 3897 nt
Organism: Eriocheir sinensis (Chinese mitten crab)
Lineage: Eukaryota; Metazoa; Arthropoda; Malacostraca; Decapoda; Varunidae
Exons: 2
Source: RefSeq, a predicted model, not a curated record
GGAGAGAAAAGAGGCGUGGACUGAAGUGACUUUGCUUAGCGGGACGAUAGUGAGUAACCAUUGCUUGGGCGCCUUGCUAGACUCCAAUAAUGAUUAUGUAGAUUAAAACAAUAAAAAGCAUUCACCGCUUACAACGCUCAGAAAUACCAUGUGGUGCAGAGCAGCCAGUGAAGAGAUAGAGGACAAAAAGAGCCAAGCCCCGUUAAAGAAGUUGCCUUCGUUCAUUAACCUCAGCAUUCACACCAUGCAAGCUCUCCAUUUACAAUUCCUGUUUGACAGUUUUGAGAAGGAUGAGUAUUGAGCUUCAGCACCUCGUGAAAAGCAACUUGACCUUGACACCUUUAUGCGGUAAUGUCAGAAAAAAAACCGGAGCUUUGAAUUCAUAUGGACUGGAAAAUAAAACCUAACAAAAGCAGCAGGCUCGCUCAGGCAGCUAACUCGCAUUGCACUACAUCGAAGCAUUAUUUUUAUGCUUUUUUGUGAGUAACGUAGAUAAAGAACAGCGAGCCACAUACUCUUGAAUUCAAUGACACAUAUCAAAGGUGUUGGUGGCCGGACCGACCGACUGACACACCUGCCUCGGACAAGUCAACUAACCCUGAUUCUCGCUCGCUGAACCCCAAUGAACCUGAACGCUACGAGAUGUGCACGCAGGCUUGUCAGAGAGGGAGGUCUCAAUGUAAUAUGUCUCUGCUGCUACUGGUGCUGUUACUACAACUGCUGCUACAACAACUACAAUAACUGUCACAACUACUACUACUGCUACUACUACCAACGUUGCCAGAUUGUCGUACUCAGCCGCUGAUAUCUCCCGACUUCCUACCCCAAAACUGUCUUCUGGGCUCCAAUAACGAAACUCAUUUAUAGUUAUCGUUAAAAGCGUUAGAUAUUAAUGUUUUUUUUGGCAAUAGUUAGGCGUCAGAAACCGGUAAAUACCAUGCUCUGAGUACGAUAAUCUGGCAACGGUGACUACUAUUACUACUACUACUACUACUACUACUACUACCACCACCGCCACUAAUACCAAGCAAGCCUCAUUCCACACAUAUUUUCCCACGAGUGUGAUUUGGAGGUUGAGGUUUCUCCGGUGGCGCGCGUGUUUCCGUCUGGCGCCUCGAGACUCGAACAUGGGGUGCAAAUCAGUCCCGUUGAGGCACGAUUAUUUCUGUCAUUAAAGCGUUCGCGCCUUGAUUGGCAACAGUUGCUGACUCUCCACAGCCGCGGGGAGUGUGUCGACGGUGUGUGUUUAGCCUCAAUAUCGAAGAAACGAGAGAUCGAGGUGAAUGACUCCGUUUAUGUGUGUGUGUGUGUGUGUGUGUGUGUGUGUGUGUGUGUGUGUGUCACGCUUGCAUCACCACAGCGUCGUCACCAUUGUUGCAACAGCUGCGCCAUCAUAGUUUUGUUACGGCAGUGAGUGUGAAAGAGGCUCGGAGACUUUUUCGUUCGGAGUGAUAUUAUCCUGCUAUUAAAAUGGAGAGAAAGACAAAUAAAUACAGCCAGAUACAGAUAGCUAGCUAGCCAGAUAGAUAGAUAGAUAGACAGAUAGAUAGAUACAUAGAUAGGCAGAUAGACAGAGACGAAAUAAUGUUCUACUAAAAUAUGUUUGUAGUAAUCAUUUUGUACAUCAAGAACUGAACUACUAGAAUGUUCUUAUUAGAUUUACAGUCGUUUGCAUACGAUAAUGUUCAGAUUUUGCGAUUUAACUUCUUUUGUGUGUGUCGAAAUGAAGGAAACACGAGACGAGGAGAGAAAAAUAGAAGAGGACAGUAAGAAAUAGAGAAAAGAUAGGAAAACAGAAGUUCCAAUAUAAUAAAGGAAAAAAAUGAAUUACCAAACAAAAAAAUGCUAAAGAAGGAAGCUGCGUGACUAAACCCUUUUACGUACAGACACACUUAUAGAGCCGAGUGUCACUAUAUUGCCACUAUAUUGUGUUUGGGUGGCUGUGUGCGUUUUUCUGGGUCUAUGUACGUUUUUAGCAACCUGUGUAUGAGUGUGUGUGUGUGUGUUUUUGUGUUUGAGUGCGACGCUGGAAAAAAAAAAACUGUGACUAUGCAAAUGCUCCUCAGGCCUGGCAAUUCGUACUCACUAACCGCGUGACUCCGCUAUGUUUUUUUGUUUUGUUUUUUUACAGCAAAGGAGACCGCACAAGGGCACACAAAAAAGGAAACAAUAAUAUAAAAAAGCCCGCUACUCGCUGCUCCUGUAAAGAAUCCGAAGAGGUGGCCGAAAGAGGCGUCAAUUAAGGGAGGGAGUUUGUUCGGCUAUUGAUCAGUGGCGGUAGAAAAAUAUUGGAAAGAAAAAGAGAAUCUACUUGUAUGCACCUAAUGAUAUAACUUUGCACUUAUAAAAUCGCUGCUCUUAAAACUGAAAUCACGUACGCUUUAAUUAAGGCAAGUUACUUUUUUUUCAUGUUAAAGAUGAAACAGAGUGAGACAGAAUAGAAUACUUUGUUGCAUGGACGAAGCGAAACACACACACACACACACACACUCCUUCACGGAUGCAUCCCAAAUUUUAUUACCCGGAAUGAAUUCUUAAAUUGCCUCGUAAAUAACCCCAGAGAGAGAGAGAGAGAGAGAGAGAGAGAGAGAGAGAGAGAGAGAGAGAGAGAGAGAGAGAGAGAGAGAGAGAGAGAGAGAACGAGCGAGCGAGAGAGAGAAAACGAGAGAGUGAGAUAGCGAGCGAGCGAGCCAGCGAGAGCAAGAGAGCAAGAGAGUCAGGCAGGAGACAGGCAGGCAGCAGACGACCCCCAAAUAACCUUGCCUAGGCGGGAUAGACCGUUAGCACGCCGCUCCCUGUGUGACUGACCCGCCAGGCAAGACCGGCCGGCGCAUGGAGUGGCUGCGGCGGCGCGUGGAGGGGGUGGAAGAGGAGCGUUAAGUGGUGGAAGAGGGGCAAGAAGAGGUGGAAGAGGAGCGAUAAGUGGUGGAAGAGGAGCGAUAAGUGGUGGAAGAGGAGCGAUUAGUGGUGGAAGAGGAGCGAUUAGUGGUGGAAGAGGAACUGGAAGAGGUGGAAGAGGAGCGAUAAGUGGUGGAAGAGGAGCGAUAAGUGGUGGAAGAGGAGCGAUAAGUGGUGGAAGAGGAGCGAUUAGUGGUGGAAGAGGAGCGAUAAGUGGUGGAAGAGGAGCUGGAAGUGGUGGAAGAGGAGCGGUAAGUGGUGGAACGGGAGCGAUAAGUGGUGGAAGAAGAGCUGGUAGAGGUGGAAGAGGAGCUGGAAGAGGUGGAAGAGGAGCAAGAAGAGGUGGAAGAGGAGCGAUAAGUGGUGGAAGAGGAGCGAUAAGUGGUGGAAGAGGAGCUGGUAGAGGUGGAAGAGGAGCAAGAAGAGGUGGAAGAGGAGCGAGAAAUGGAAGAAAGGGGUAAAAAAGUGGAAGAGGAGAAAAAAUUGUGUAGGUGGAGGAAAUAAAGGGGGAGCAAAACUGUAGGGGUAUUGAAGGUGGAAGAUAGGUGGGGGAGAAGUGGAGUGGUGGAGAGAGUGAAGGAGGAGCAAGAAGUGUAAAGGUGGAAGAGGAGGAGGAGGAGGAGGGUGGAGAAGUGGGGUGAAGGAGGAAGGGGAGAAGUAGCAAGAAUGUGGAGGUGAACGAGGGACGAGAACUGUGGAGCUGGUGGUGGUGGAGGUUGUGAGGGUAUGAAGGAGGGGAGAGGGGAGACGCGAAAGGGUGGAGGUGGUGGAUAGAGUACGAAGUAGGGAGGAGGAGGAGAAAUAGGGGAGGAGGAGGAGGAAGAGAAGGAGGAGGAGGAGGAAGAGAAGGAGGAGGAGGAGGAAGAGAAGGAGGAGGAGGAAAGGAGAGGCAGGGGCUGAGGCAAUGGGUCUAUAUUAUGUUGAGAUGGGAGGGAAAAAUCGCAAGGGAGGCUGGACAGGAACGGUGCGGGAAGAGGAGGAGGAGGAGGAGGAAAAGGA